AUUGAACGCUGGCGGCAGGCCUAACACAUGCAAGUCGAGCGGAUGAAGGGAGCUUGCUCCUGGAUUCAGCGGCGGACGGGUGAGUAAUGCCUAGGAAUCUGCCUGGUUGUGGGGGAUAACGUCCGGAAACGGGCGCUAAUACCGCAUACGUCCUGAGGGAGAAAGUGGGGGAUCUUCGGACCUCACGCUAUCAGAUGAGUCUAGGUCGGAUUAGCUAGUUGGUGGGUUAAAGGCCUACUAAGGCGACGAUCCGUAACUGGUCUGAGAGGAUGAUCAGUCACACUAGAACUGAGACACGGUCCAGACUCCUACGGGAGGCAGCAGUCGGGAAUAUUGGACAAUGGGCGAAAGCCUGAUCCAGCCAUGCCACGUGUGUGAAGAAGGUCUUCGGAUUGUAAAGCACUUUAAGUUGGGAGGAAGGGCAGUAAGUUAAUACCUUGCUGUUUUGACGUUACCGACAGAAUAAGCACCGGCUAACUUCGUG
RNAcentral lists this ribosomal RNA (484 nucleotides) under uncultured bacterium. RNAcentral's name for it is "partial 16S ribosomal RNA". It matches the Rfam family "Bacterial small subunit ribosomal RNA", at positions 30 to 507 of the family's 1533-position model. The record is from RNAcentral.